GAUUUCAAUUAAUCUAUCAUUUCAACUUUUUUUCUUAACAGUUUCAUUCGAAAACACCGAAUUUGUCAAAUGAAAAAUGUAUUUCUCUAUUUUCAUUGUUAUGUAUCUAGCAAUUAGUUUUUCGAACGGAUUUCUUUUUAAAAACCCACCUUUACAGGAGGACGGAAGUUUGAAUGACGAAAGUGAGAAUAUAAUGAAAAAUUUUUUUGAAGUAAAUGAACAACUUGAAUGUGUAACCUAUAGAGUAUUUACACGAUUAUUAAAAAGUUUUCAAUGGCUACAUGGUAUGAAAGAUAGUGAUAUCGAAAAAUUAUUCACGGAUGAAGUCAAUAGCAAAAAUAGAUCACUGACUGUAUAUAAAUUUUUGAAACUAACGACGGAGUGUAUCAAAAUAAUUGAGUCUCAGUAUACGUUGCGUUAUAAUAAUUCUCUCAAUGAAGAAAAUAAGAUGACAUUAAAUGAAUUAAAAAAAGCUCUUGUAGUAGAAAAACUCGGUCUCACAGAAGAAGUUGUUACUACUUUAAUAACCGAUUAUACAUUUAAAAACGAACAAGAUAUCAGCAUGGAAGAAUUUAGAAAAACAUUUGUGUUAAUAACGUAUAACCAAAUCUAUACCAUACCAAUUGAAGAGACAUUAAAAGAAAUAAGAGGAAUAAUUUAACUACAAAUAUAUUUAGAAUUUUAAUACAAAUUAUUACACUAUAAAUGUUUUCUAAAUUAUUUGAUAGUCUAAAAUAUUUAAAGAAUACAUCAUAAAACAAGAUAUUAUUUUACCAGACUAUUUAAAGGAAAAAUAAAAAAAGUCAAAAAUGUGUUUUAAUUUAAAAUUUUAAAUAUCAUUUUCAUUUGUGAUUCGAAAUAUUUUUUUCUUCAAAUACUAAACAAUAUGUGCCCAUUAAAUUAUAUCAUCUAAUAAAACUAAAAAAUAUUAGCAAUUUGUAUUAUUUUUGAACUCUAGUCAUUGUGGUGAUGGUAUUGAAGGGCGGGUAGAAAGUGCGUCCUAGUAGUCAAUAUUUUAUGAAAGCUAAGUUAUCAUGUAAAAAAUACAUUAUUUCAACUCUUUUUCUGGAAACGGACCAAACAUCCGUUCAAGAGUAUUGUUUUGGAAAACCCUCUUAUAAUAUUUUUAUUUUACAUAAAUUCUAUCAUUUGAACUACAGAAAAAUAUGAUAUCUGUGUUUAUUUUGAAUAACAUAUUUUAGAAUUAAAGUAUCAUAUUAUAAAUACACAAUUUUAAAAAAUUACAUAAAAAUAAUUGAAUAAUAACACGAAAAACUGUAAAAUAUAAUAAAUUGUUUAUAAUUUUAUAAAUAAGGUAAUUCAAUAUAUAAUACAUAAGUACAAUUAAAAUUAUUGAUAUCUAAUGGGUUAUAGAUAAUUUAUAAGUAAAAUCAAGUAAAUAGGAGAGUAUUUGCUUAAAAGUUUAAGCCGAACUAUUAGAUCAUUAGUAUAUAAAAAUUAACUGAAACUAAUUAAUGAAACUAAUUGAUAUAAUGUAUUUAAACUAGAAUUUUAAAUGCGUUGUAAUCAUUUAGUACAUGUUUUAAUUUAUCCGAUAUUUAUCAUUUAUUAACUACAAAGCGGAAAACAAUAUUUCAUUAUUAAGAACUGCCAUAAAAGAAGAAAUCAAUUUUUUUUAUAUAAUUAAAGUAUCAAAAAAUGAUUCCAACGUUUUUGGUGUCAACAGUAGUUGUGUUAAGUUUUGACAUCUCCACAAAUUACAUAUCCGUGACUUUUUAGUAAUUUUUUUUGAGGUCUUUUGAGUUUAAUAUUUUUAAUAUAGUUUUAAUUCUAAAUAAUAUAGUUACAAGUGAUCAAUUUUUAUAAUUUAUUGAAGCGUCGAAAAAUGUUUCCAAUACUUUGAAUGACGACAGUAAUCUCAUUUCCUGAGUUGUAUUAUAAACCACGAUACUAAUAAUAAAUCAUUGAGGUAAAUAAGAUUAAAAGUGAAAAAACAUGUGACGUCGUACAUUAAUAGCUAAUAUAAUUAAUGAUUUUCUUAUUUUUUUAGUUGUAUAGAAAAUUUAUUAUAACUAUUUAUUGUUAAAUGUAGUAGAAAUUUUAAAAAAUCCGUAUGCAAAACGUCAAGGCCUAUUAAUUUAUAGACUUCAAUUUAAUUAUUCAUUGUUGACUGAAAUAAAAGAAAACAAGUUUUUACUAGUAUUUUUUGCGAAAUAAUGACAAUGAAAUAGUUAUAAGAAGACUUGAGUUCUGUAACUAUAGUCAACAAUCUUAUUUGAAAACACCGAGUUGUCAAACCAAAAAUGCAUUUCUUCAUUUUCAUUGUUAUGUAUACAGCCAUUAGUAUUUCAAAUGGACUUAUUUCCUCUUCUAAUACUUUAAACGAGAAAAUCCGUUCUGUGGAAAGAUAGAUCGAGCAUCAAAAAUUUAUGAAAAUAGUUAAUAAUGUAUAUAUAAAAGUGUCAGUAUUUCCAGAACACUUUUAAAAGUUGUUAUUUAAAAUCCUCCUCUGUGGGCAGAUAAAGGUCAAAUUUAUAAAAAAAAAUAUAUCAAAUAAUAGUACGAAAAAUUUAAUGACGAAAGCAAUUCCAUUUGGACAGAUUUGUUUAAAUUAUUUAAAAAAAAUAAUGAAGGCAUAGAUUAUAAUACAUUUAAACUAUUUACGAAUUUUUUAACAUGGAUAAAUCCUAUAACAGAGAGUGAAAUUAAACAAAUUUUCUUGGAUGAAGUUAAAGAUCAAAAACGAUUAAUGAAUUUGGGUCAAUUUUUGAAACAAAUUAUGAAGUGUGUCAAACUAAAUGAGUCUCAAAUUAAAUCGCAUUAUGAAAGUUUUCUCAAUGAUGAAGGAAAGAUGACUCUAAUCGAAUUGUGUGAUGCUUUUCAAAAAUUAAAUCUCCCCUUUACAUAUGAAGAUAGUAAUGAAAUAAAGACUAAUUUUACAAUUAAAGACACACAAGAUAUCAGCUUGAAAGAAUUCAGAAUCAUAUACUUGUUGAGAGUUUCUAAAAAAUAUGAAAAUAAAAGUAAUUUAUAAACAUUAAUAUUAUUGAAUAAAAUGAAUCAAACAAAAAUUUGUCCUUUUUCUCUAUGAUUAAACUUAUCUGUUAAAAUAUAUAAAUGUUAAUAACAUAAACUGUUGAAGUUUUAUAAAUAAUAAAUAAUAA
RNA transcript from Daktulosphaira vitifoliae (grape phylloxera), 3125 nucleotides. RefSeq lists it as uncharacterized. Lineage: Eukaryota; Metazoa; Arthropoda; Insecta; Hemiptera; Phylloxeridae. The transcript is spliced from 10 exons. The record is from RefSeq and is a predicted model, not a curated record.